GGUUCCAUGGUGUAAUGAUUAGCACUCUGUGGACUCUGAAUCCAGCGAUCAUAUUUCAAAUCUCGGUGGAACCU
Molecule: non-coding RNA, 74 nt
Organism: Trichonephila inaurata madagascariensis
Lineage: Eukaryota; Metazoa; Arthropoda; Arachnida; Araneae; Nephilidae
Source: the annotation of a GenBank genome assembly